GCCGGCUUAGCUCAGUUAGUAAAGUAACUGAAUUGUAAUCAGUAGGUCACCAGUUCGACUCCGGUAGCCGGCACCA
Molecule: transfer RNA, 76 nt
Filed under: Arsenophonus endosymbiont of Trialeurodes vaporariorum
Lineage: Bacteria; Pseudomonadati; Pseudomonadota; Gammaproteobacteria; Enterobacterales; Morganellaceae
Description: tRNA-Thr
Rfam family: tRNA
About the family: Transfer RNA (tRNA) molecules are approximately 80 nucleotides in length. Their secondary structure includes four short double-helical elements and three loops (D, anti-codon, and T loops). Further hydrogen bonds mediate the characteristic L-shaped molecular structure. tRNAs have two regions of fundamental functional importance: the anti-codon, which is responsible for specific mRNA codon recognition, and the 3' end, to which the tRNAs corresponding amino acid is attached (by aminoacyl-tRNA synthetases). tRNAs cope with the degeneracy of the genetic code in two manners: having more than one tRNA (with a specific anti-codon) for a particular amino acid; and 'wobble' base-pairing, i.e. permitting non-standard base-pairing at the 3rd anti-codon position.
Source: RNAcentral